CCAAUAGCGUAUAUUAAAGUUGUUGCAGUUAAAAAGCUCGUAGUUGAAUUUCGGGACUAAUAUGUCGGUCGUGCCUCGGUACGAACUGGUUUAUAGGUCUCUCCUUUCUGAAGAACCGUGAUGUCAUUUAUUUGGUGUCGUGGGGAAUCAGGACUGUUACUUUGAAAAAAUUAGAGUGUUUAAAGCAGGCUCACGCUUGAAUACAUUAGCAUGGAAUAAUGAAAUAGGACGUUUGAUUCUAUUUUGUUGGUUUCUAGGAUCGACGUAAUGAUUAAUAGGGAUAGUUGGGGGCAUUAGUAUUCAAUUGUCAGAGGUGAAAUUCUUGGAUUUAUUGAAGACUAACUACUGCGAAAGCAUUUGCCAAGGAUGUUUUCAUUAAUCAAGAACGAAAGUUAGGGGAUCGAAGACGAUCAGAUACCGUCGUAGUCUUAACCAUAAACUAUGCCGACUAGGGAUCGGAUGAUGUUAAUUUUUUAAUGACUCAUUCGGCGCCUUACG
RNAcentral lists this ribosomal RNA (498 nucleotides) under uncultured Glomeromycotina. RNAcentral describes it as "partial small subunit ribosomal RNA". It matches the Rfam family "Eukaryotic small subunit ribosomal RNA", at positions 591 to 1092 of the family's 1831-position model. Lineage: Eukaryota; Fungi; Glomeromycota. The record is from RNAcentral.